Molecule: ribosomal RNA, 456 nt
Filed under: Staphylococcus aureus
Lineage: Bacteria; Bacillati; Bacillota; Bacilli; Caryophanales; Staphylococcaceae
Description: bacterial SSU rRNA
Rfam family: Bacterial small subunit ribosomal RNA
Source: RNAcentral
GCGCUGCAUUAGCUAGUUGGUAAGGUAACGGCUUACCAAGGCAACGAUGCAUAGCCGACCUGAGAGGGUGAUCGGCCACACUGGAACUGAGACACGGUCCAGACUCCUACGGGAGGCAGCAGUAGGGAAUCUUCCGCAAUGGGCGAAAGCCUGACGGAGCAACGCCGCGUGAGUGAUGAAGGUCUUCGGAUCGUAAAACUCUGUUAUUAGGGAAGAACAUAUGUGUAAGUAACUGUGCACAUCUUGACGGUACCUAAUCAGAAAGCCACGGCUAACUACGUGCCAGCAGCCGCGGUAAUACGUAGGUGGCAAGCGUUAUCCGGAAUUAUUGGGCGUAAAGCGCGCGUAGGCGGUUUUUUAAGUCUGAUGUGAAAGCCCACGGCUCAACCGUGGAGGGUCAUUGGAAACUGGAAAACUUGAGUGCAGAAGAGGAAAGUGGAAUUCCAUGUGUAGCGG